GAUGAACGCUGGCGGCGUGCCUAAUACAUGCAAGUCGAGCGAACAGACGAGGAGCUUGCUCCUCUGACGUUAGCGGCGGACGGGUGAGUAACACGUGGAUAACCUACCAAUAAGACUGGGAUAACUUCGGGAAACCGGAGCUAAUACCGGAUAAUAUAUUGAACCGCAUGGUUCAAUAGUGAAAGACGGUUUUGCUGUCACUUAUAGAUGGAUCCGCGCCGCAUUAGCUAGUUGGUAAGGUAACGGCUUACCAAGGCAACGAUGCGUAGCCGACCUGAGAGGGUGAUCGGCCACACUGGAACUGAGACACGGUCCAGACUCCUACGGGAGGCAGCAGUAGGGAAUCUUCCGCAAUGGGCGAAAGCUUGCCGGAGCAACGCCGCGUGAGUGAUGAAGGUCUUCGGAUCGUAAAACUCUGUUAUUAGGGAAGAACAAAUGUGUAAGUAACUAUGCACGUCUUGACGGUACCUAAUCAGAAAGCCACGGCUAACUACGUG
This 497-nucleotide ribosomal RNA is filed under the name uncultured bacterium. RNAcentral describes it as "partial 16S ribosomal RNA". It matches the Rfam family "Bacterial small subunit ribosomal RNA", at positions 28 to 507 of the family's 1533-position model. The record is from RNAcentral.